AUCUGGCAAACAGAGGCUAGAGCAUUUAGAUGGUAACUCAUUGGUGUGUGUAUGUUUGCUUGCAUUGACCUGAAAAUAAUUCUCUUAUUCUGUUUUCCUAGUUAAUGAACCUCUAGACAAUUUAUUACAGGACUGGCUCCCGGUGUUGUCUUUGGUGUAAGAUCCAGGGUACGGAUUGAUCUGGGGAGCUAGCUGAAGGAUCCAGGGGGAGUCUGAAGUCUGACAUCACCAGACACUGCUGCCAACUCUUGCGAUUUUUAUCGUGAGUCUCGUGAUGUUUUCCAUAAAGCUCCAGCUCCUGGAGGCAUGUGAUCAGGGGGUUAAUUCUUACUUGGCCUUGAGGCAGCCAAGGAGGACUACUAUCCUGGAACAAGCAAUGCAAUAUUUCCUCUGGGCUUGGGAGUAAUUAUUGAUGGAAAUAAUUAUCCUCCAAUCCCAUCAAAGGCUGGCUUAAUUUCAACCAAACAGUCUCAUCUGAUGAACACUGGAUAUCCUCUAAAGCACUAAACUGGCUGGUAAUCCCUUUGGAUCAAGCUCUGGAGAUGUCAAUUUAAUUUUUGUUUUUUUGUGGUCGUCUGUUAGUCUUUCAUCUCUGUGAUGUAAAAGCAGGUGCAAUUUAACAUGAAAGCUUAAUCUUACCGGAGAGGAUUAUCACAAGACUUCUCCCCCUCUCCUCACAAACAAAAUCCAGGAGAAAACACCACACAGCCAACCAUCAGAGAUCGUGCUAUGGUCACACAGCCUUUCGAGGGGAAAUGGGGAAGGAGUAGAGCCAAGUGACUGGGGCCUUGGUGGAAUAGCGUGGAUCGCUCAUAACAAGGAGAAGAUGGCAUGGCUAUCGCUCCUCACAAUGCCAAGGCACGCACUGGGCAUUUUCAGGUACGUCAGUCAGGAUUCCAUGUGGAUGUUCGCACCAGGUACCGUGCAGCCAGAGGUUUCAGAUAGGAAAGGAGUGCUCCAGGAGUUGGGUACAAAGCAACAGCGAGCGCCGAUGGAUUUGAACCACCCCUCCCUCCCUGCAGUUAUUAUGCUUUGUAUUACAGAUGUGCUAGGUGCCAUUCAGACACAUAGCAAGAGACAACCCCUGUCCUGGGGAGCUUGCAGGCUAAGAGACAAGCUGGACAAAAGGUGGGAGG
Molecule: long non-coding RNA, 1136 nt
Organism: Malaclemys terrapin pileata
Lineage: Eukaryota; Metazoa; Chordata; Testudines; Emydidae
Exons: 3
Source: RefSeq, a predicted model, not a curated record